Molecule: ribosomal RNA, 2752 nt
Filed under: Escherichia coli
Lineage: Bacteria; Pseudomonadati; Pseudomonadota; Gammaproteobacteria; Enterobacterales; Enterobacteriaceae
Description: partial 23S ribosomal RNA
Rfam family: Bacterial large subunit ribosomal RNA
Source: RNAcentral
UCAGAGGCGAUGAAGGACGUGCUAAUCUGCGAUAAGCGUCGGUAAGGUGAUAUGAACCGUUAUAACCGGCGAUUUCCGAAUGGGGAAACCCAGUGUGAUUCGUCACACUAUCAUUAACUGAAUCCAUAGGUUAAUGAGGCGAACCGGGGGAACUGAAACAUCUAAGUACCCCGAGGAAAAGAAAUCAACCGAGAUUCCCCCAGUAGCGGCGAGCGAACGGGGAGCAGCCCAGAGCCUGAAUCAGUGUGUGUGUUAGUGGAAGCGUCUGGAAAGGCGUGCGAUACAGGGUGACAGCCCCGUACACAAAAAUGCACAUACUGUGAGCUCGAUGAGUAGGGCGGGACACGUGGUAUCCUGUCUGAAUAUGGGGGGACCAUCCUCCAAGGCUAAAUACUCCUGACUGACCGAUAGUGAACCAGUACCGUGAGGGAAAGGCGAAAAGAACCCCGGCGAGGGGAGUGAAAAAGAACCUGAAACCGUGUACGUACAAGCAGUGGGAGCACGCUUAGGCGUGUGACUGCGUACCUUUUGUAUAAUGGGUCAGCGACUUAUAUUCUGUAGCAAGGUUAACCGAAUAGGGGAGCCGAAGGGAAACCGAGUCUUAACUGGGCGUUAAGUUGCAGGGUAUAGACCCGAAACCCGGUGAUCUAGCCAUGGGCAGGUUGAAGGUUGGGUAACACUAACUGGAGGACCGAACCGACUAAUGUUGAAAAAUUAGCGGAUGACUUGUGGCUGGGGGUGAAAGGCCAAUCAAACCGGGAGAUAGCUGGUUCUCCCCGAAAGCUAUUUAGGUAGCGCCUCGUGAAUUCAUCUCCGGGGGUAGAGCACUGUUUCGGCAAGGGGGUCAUCCCGACUUACCAACCCGAUGCAAACUGCGAAUACCGGAGAAUGUUAUCACGGGAGACACACGGCGGGUGCUAACGUCCGUCGUGAAGAGGGAAACAACCCAGACCGCCAGCUAAGGUCCCAAAGUCAUGGUUAAGUGGGAAACGAUGUGGGAAGGCCCAGACAGCCAGGAUGUUGGCUUAGAAGCAGCCAUCAUUUAAAGAAAGCGUAAUAGCUCACUGGUCGAGUCGGCCUGCGCGGAAGAUGUAACGGGGCUAAACCAUGCACCGAAGCUGCGGCAGCGACGCUUAUGCGUUGUUGGGUAGGGGAGCGUUCUGUAAGCCUGUGAAGGUGUGCUGUGAGGUAUGCUGGAGGUAUCAGAAGUGCGAAUGCUGACAUAAGUAACGAUAAAGCGGGUGAAAAGCCCGCUCGCCGGAAGACCAAGGGUUCCUGUCCAACGUUAAUCGGGGCAGGGUGAGUCGACCCCUAAGGCGAGGCCGAAAGGCGUAGUCGAUGGGAAACAGGUUAAUAUUCCUGUACUUGGUGUUACUGCGAAGGGGGGACGGAGAAGGCUAUGUUGGCCGGGCGACGGUUGUCCCGGUUUAAGCGUGUAGGCUGGUUUUCCAGGCAAAUCCGGAAAAUCAAGGCCGAGGCGUGAUGACGAGGCACUACGGUGCUGAAGCAACAAAUGCCCUGCUUCCAGGAAAAGCCUCUAAGCAUCAGGUAACAUCAAAUCGUACCCCAAACCGACACAGGUGGUCAGGUAGAGAAUACCAAGGCGCUUGAGAGAACUCGGGUGAAGGAACUAGGCAAAAUGGUGCCGUAACUUCGGGAGAAGGCACGCUGAUACGUAGGUGAAGCGACUUGCUCGUGGAGCUGAAAUCAGUCGAAGAUACCAGCUGGCUGCAACUGUUUAUUAAAAACACAGCACUGUGCAAACACGAAAGUGGACGUAUACGGUGUGACGCCUGCCCGGUGCCGGAAGGUUAAUUGAUGGGGUUAGCGCAAGCGAAGCUCUUGAUCGAAGCCCCGGUAAACGGCGGCCGUAACUAUAACGGUCCUAAGGUAGCGAAAUUCCUUGUCGGGUAAGUUCCGACCUGCACGAAUGGCGUAAUGAUGGCCAGGCUGUCUCCACCCGAGACUCAGUGAAAUUGAACUCGCUGUGAAGAUGCAGUGUACCCGCGGCAAGACGGAAAGACCCCGUGAACCUUUACUAUAGCUUGACACUGAACAUUGAGCCUUGAUGUGUAGGAUAGGUGGGAGGCUUUGAAGUGUGGACGCCAGUCUGCAUGGAGCCGACCUUGAAAUACCACCCUUUAAUGUUUGAUGUUCUAACGUGGACCCGUGAUCCGGGUUGCGGACAGUGUCUGGUGGGUAGUUUGACUGGGGCGGUCUCCUCCUAAAGAGUAACGGAGGAGCACGAAGGUUGGCUAAUCCUGGUCGGACAUCAGGAGGUUAGUGCAAUGGCAUAAGCCAGCUUGACUGCGAGCGUGACGGCGCGAGCAGGUGCGAAAGCAGGUCAUAGUGAUCCGGUGGUUCUGAAUGGAAGGGCCAUCGCUCAACGGAUAAAAGGUACUCCGGGGAUAACAGGCUGAUACCGCCCAAGAGUUCAUAUCGACGGCGGUGUUUGGCACCUCGAUGUCGGCUCAUCACAUCCUGGGGCUGAAGUAGGUCCCAAGGGUAUGGCUGUUCGCCAUUUAAAGUGGUACGCGAGCUGGGUUUAGAACGUCGUGAGACAGUUCGGUCCCUAUCUGCCGUGGGCGCUGGAGAACUGAGGGGGGCUGCUCCUAGUACGAGAGGACCGGAGUGGACGCAUCACUGGUGUUCGGGUUGUCAUGCCAAUGGCACUGCCCGGUAGCUAAAUGCGGAAGAGAUAAGUGCUGAAAGCAUCUAAGCACGAAACUUGCCCCGAGAUGAGUUCUCCCUG